GUUUUCAAUUCUACUAAACACCACUCAACAGAUGGAUUGGAACAAAUGUUCAUAUGUUAAAUCUAAAAGAAAAUCAGCAACCGCGACUACCACAUCUAUAAGGUGUACAGGAAAGUGUUGCAUUUACACUCUCUCAAUACACUGACAAAAAAAGAAGAGACAUAGGGAACCAAAUUGGUGCAGAUAUAGUAGACAAAUGGAAAGCAAAGAAGAUGAGUAUUGCAAACCAAAAAAUGACAACAUAGCUCCGCACACAACGCAAUCUAAUGGCCUUAGAAGUCUGUUGCGGGUGAAGCUGGGCACCAACUAUGAACUGCCCAGUCAUGUUGGUUUUUGAAAGCUGAAAGUUGUAAUAUUUUGCUUCGUUUUGUGGUAGCACAGAUGAAAGAAAGUUGUAAUAUUUUGCUUUGCUUUGAGGCCUGAAUGUGUAGCUAUAUAUAACCAGCAAACUUAGAGUCGGACAAUUGCA
This is a long non-coding RNA of Ipomoea nil (Japanese morning glory), 469 nucleotides long. RefSeq lists it as uncharacterized. The record is from RefSeq and is a predicted model, not a curated record. The transcript is spliced from 3 exons. Lineage: Eukaryota; Viridiplantae; Streptophyta; Magnoliopsida; Solanales; Convolvulaceae.